Molecule: long non-coding RNA, 1153 nt
Filed under: Manacus vitellinus (golden-collared manakin)
Lineage: Eukaryota; Metazoa; Chordata; Aves; Passeriformes; Pipridae
Description: lncRNA (ENSMVIG00005008148.1)
Source: RNAcentral
GGCUUUUGAGGUCUAUUGCAUUUGGGGGUAACAGCCACAGCUUCACUGCUGUAGGGACUGUGACCUGGGGAUAUUUCAGGGUUGUUUUCUGUUGGUUUUGACCUUUUCCAGACACAAAAAGAAAAAAUGAAGAUGUGUAAGACAAUAUCUGUUUUCAUUCUGAUGUUUACAGGAUAUCUUUGUAACGGUGAUGAACUCACAACAUCAGAGAUGGUGCCCACAAAAGGUUUAUCACCUCCUUUAGAAGAUCAUGAUGAAGCUUCCAAACACAAUUUGGAAUGGGAAACAAAACCUGACUACGAUUACCAGGAUUCUCCUCCAGGUACUACUCAAGUGGUGAACACAGAAGAAAGGCAAAAAGAAGGAGGAAACUUGGGAGCAACAGCAGCAGGACACCUGUCAAGUGUGGUAGUGGCAGGAGUCAGCAUUUCCCUUGUGGUCCUUUUUAUUAUUAUAACUACUGUUUUCUGGUAUGCACAGAAAAAAUCAAAGGAAAGCUCGGCUGAAAUUAAUUCUGUCCUCUACACUGAGCCUGGAGUGUCUUUAAAAAAUAUUUCAGUGAAUGAGAACCAUCCCGAGUGGCCUUUUGAAAGAGCAUUACACUGACAGCAGGAGAGCUUGGAUGACCCUUCGGACUGUGCACCUGGAUGGCAGAGCUGUGUACCAUGGCACUUUGAGCCAGUCAUUUUCCCCUUUUCAGUGAGCAUUUCAAAUCAUUCCCCAAUAAUUUGGAAUCUGAGUUAACAAGAAAAUCCUGUUAUCCAAAGAAUCUCAGUCGAUGCUAUUAAGAAGUGGCAUGCAUUGCCCAUAGUGUAACAAGAGAAAGGCCAAACUCAAUAACUGGUAUUUAGGGCCUUUGCUGUAUGUUUAUCUGUUAUAUAUUGUAGUGAGGUGUUUUUCCAUUUUAUUUCAUGCUUGUCAUGUUUUAUCUCUUUUUCUCUUAUUUAAUAUUUUUCAUGUUUUACUUUUUUUACGUUCUUUUCAGGAGAAAAUAAGAAAGAAAAAUCCUCCCUAUUGUAGCUAUUUUAACAGCACUCUCAGAAAAGCUGUAUCUUCAAAAAAGUUACAUUCUUGAAAUUAUGAAGACCCUAAUUAGAGAAAAUGCCACACUUAGACUAUGUCUGUUCUAAUAAAUUAAACCUGCACAGGAACA